UGGUUCUGGCAUCGAUGAAGAACGCAGCGAAAUGCGAUAAGUAAUGUGAAUUGCAGAAUUCAGUGAAUCAUCGAAUCUUUGAACGCACAUUGCGCCCCUUGGUAUUCCGGGGGGCAUGCCUGUUCGAGCGUCAUUUCAACCCUCAAGCUCUGCUUGGUCUUGGGCUCUGCCGGCAACGGCUUGCCUUAAACUCAGUGGCGGUGCCAUUCGAGCUCUACGCGUAGUAAUGUAAACCCUCGCGAUUGAGUCUUGGUGGAUGCUGGCCAGCAACCCCUCCAAUUUUUCUAUGGUUGACCUCGGAUCAGGUAGGGAUACCCGCUGA
Molecule: unclassified non-coding RNA, 322 nt
Filed under: uncultured fungus
Lineage: Eukaryota; Fungi
Description: partial contains 5.8S ribosomal RNA and internal transcribed spacer 2
Rfam family: 5.8S ribosomal RNA (bases 1-133)
Source: RNAcentral